This 468-nucleotide ribosomal RNA is filed under the name uncultured bacterium. Its description in RNAcentral is "partial 16S ribosomal RNA". It matches the Rfam family "Bacterial small subunit ribosomal RNA", at positions 28 to 507 of the family's 1533-position model. The record is from RNAcentral.
GACGAACGCUGGCGGCGUGCUUAACACAUGCAAGUCGAACGGAAAGGCCCUGCUUUUGUGGGGUGCUCGAGUGGCGAACGGGUGAGUAACACGUGAGUAACCUGCCCUUGACUUUGGGAUAACUUCAGGAAACUGGGGCUAAUACCGGAUAGGAGCUCCUGCUGCAUGGUGGGGGUUGGAAAGUUUCGGCGGUUGGGGAUGGACUCGCGGCUUAUCAGCUUGUUGGUGGGGUAGUGGCUUACCAAGGCUUUGACGGGUAGCCGGCCUGCGAGGGUGACCGGCCACAUUGGGACUGAGAUACGGCCCAGACUGCUACUGGAGGCAGCAGUGGGGAAUAUUGCACAAUGGGCGGAAGCCUGAUGCAGCAACGCCGCGUGCGGGAUGACGGCCUGCGGGUUGUAAACCGCUUUCGCCUGUGACGAAGCGUGAGUGACGGUAAUGGGUAAAGAAGCACCGGCUAACUACGUG